RNAcentral lists this ribosomal RNA (869 nucleotides) under uncultured bacterium. RNAcentral describes it as "bacterial SSU rRNA". It matches the Rfam family "Bacterial small subunit ribosomal RNA", at positions 54 to 919 of the family's 1533-position model. The record is from RNAcentral.
CAUGCAAGUCGAGGGGCAGCGCGGGAUAGCAAUAUUCUGGCGGCGACCGGCGGAAGGGUGCGUAACGCGUGAGCGACAUGCCCGUUGCCCGGGGACAACCGGUGGAAACGCCGACUAAUCCCCGAUGGGAUACGAUGCUGCAUGGCAUUGUAUUGAAAGUUACGGCGGCGACGGAUUGGCUCGCGUCCGAUUAGCUUGUUGGCGGGGUAACGGCCCACCAAGGCUACGAUCGGUAGGGGUUCUGAGAGGAAGGCCCCCCACAAUGGGACUGAGACACGGCCCAUACUCCUACGGGAGGCAGCAGUGAGGAAUAUUGGUCAAUGGGCGGAAGCCUGAACCAGCCAUGCCGCGUGCGGGAAGGAGGCCCUAUGGGCUGUGAACCGCUUUUGCCUGGGGGCAAUAAGGGCGUCGCGCACGCCCGAUGAGAGUACCAGGCGAAUAAGCAUCGGCUAACUCCGUGCCAGCAGCCGCGGUAAUACGGGGGAUGCGAGCGUUAUCCGGAUUCAUUGGGUUUAAAGGGUGCGUAGGCUGUGCGUCAAGUCGGGGGUGAAAUUCCGGUGCUCAACACCGGGGCUGCCCUUGAUACUGUCGCGCUGGAGUGCGGAUGCCGCCGGAGGAAUGAGUGGUGUAGCGGUGAAAUGCUUAGAUAUCACUCAGAACACCGAUUGCGAAGGCAUCUGGCGAAUCCGUAACUGACGCUGAGGCACGAAAGCGUGGGGAUAGAACAGGAUUAGAUACCCUGGUAUUCCACGCCGUAAACGAUGAUGGCUAACCGCCGGCGACACACUGUCGGUGGCCAAGCGAAAGCGAUAAGCCAUCCACCUGGGGAGUACGUCGGCAACGAUGAAACUCAAAGGAAUUGACGGGGG